This is a non-coding RNA of Jaculus jaculus (lesser Egyptian jerboa), 447 nucleotides long. NCBI's taxonomy places the organism in Eukaryota, Metazoa, Chordata, Mammalia, Rodentia, Dipodidae. The record is from the annotation of a RefSeq genome assembly.
AUGGGCUGUGGGCUCCUCUGUGGCGUAACCCUCUGCCUCCUGGGAGUAGGCCCCUCACAGACAGCUAUUUUCCAGACUCCAAAAUUUCUUUUGGCACAGGUGGGAAAUAAGAAGUCUCUCAAGUGUGAACAAAAUCUGGGCCACAAUACAAUGUACUGGUAUAAGCAGGACUCUAAGAAAUUGCUGAAGAUUCUGUUUAGUUACACUAAUCAGAAACUCAUAUUAAAUGAAACAGUUUCAAGACGCUUUGCUCCUGAGCCUUCAAGCAAAGCUAAUUUAAAUCUUCGUGUCCAGUCCCUGGAGCUAGAUGACACGGCUGUGUAUCUGUGUGCCAGCAGCCAAGACACAGCCUUGCAGAGUCACCGCCUCCCUGCGCACAAACUUCACAGCCAGCCAGGAAGCUGUGGGAGCCAUGUGUUCUCCUAUGCCCAAGGCUCCAUUCUCUAG